Molecule: ribosomal RNA, 252 nt
Filed under: uncultured bacterium
Lineage: Bacteria
Description: partial 16S ribosomal RNA
Rfam family: Bacterial small subunit ribosomal RNA
Source: RNAcentral
UACGUAGGGGGCUAGCGUUAUCCAGAAUUACUGGGCGUAAAGGGUGCGUAGGUGGUUUCUUAAGUCAGAGGUGAAAGGCUACGGCUCAACCGUAGUAAGCCUUUGAAACUGGGAAACUUGAGUGCAGGAGAGGAGAGUGGAAUUCCUAGUGUAGCGGUGAAACGCGUAGAUAUUAGGAGGAACACCAGUUGCGAAGGCGGCUCUCUGGACUGUAACUGACACUGAGGCACGAAAGCGUGGGGAGCAAACAGG